CCUACGGGAGGCAGCAGUAGGGAAUAUUGGGCAAUGGAGGCAACUCUGACCCAGCCAUGCCGCGUGAACGAAGAAGGCGCUAUGCGUCGUAAAGUUCUUUUAGAGGGGGCGAAAACACUUGAUUCAUCAAGUACUGACGGUACCUUCGGAAUAAGCACCGGCUAACUCUGUGCCAGCAGCCGCGGUAAUACAGAGGGUGCAAGCGUUAUCCGGAAUCACUGGGUUUAAAGGGUGCGUAGGCGGGAUUAUAAGUCAGAGGUGAAAUCUCGUCGCUUAACGACGGAAUUGCCUUUGAUACUGUUUUUACUUGAAAUUUGUUGAGGUUGGCGGAAUGAGACAUGUAGCGGUGAAAUGCUUAGAUAUGUCUUAGAACACCGAUUGCGAAGGCAGCUGACUGGACAAUAUUUGACGCUGAGGCACGAAAGCGUGGGGAUCAAACAGGAUUAGAUACCCUGGUAGUCCACGCCCUAAACGAUGUUUACUUGCUGUUUGUCUUUCGGGAUGAGUGGCGAAGCGAAAGCGAUAAGUAACCACCUGGGGAGUACGCCCGGCAAGGGGUUGAAACGUCGAAAGUAGUAGUAGCGNGNGACGAGCGACGACGACGACGACGGAGGAGG
Molecule: ribosomal RNA, 617 nt
Filed under: uncultured bacterium
Lineage: Bacteria
Description: bacterial SSU rRNA
Rfam family: Bacterial small subunit ribosomal RNA
Source: RNAcentral